AUGCAGUGGUCACUUGUUUAUCCUUGGACUUUAUACUUAAGGCUUUCCUUAUAUGGUUUUGGAAAAUUCCUCCUCAUCCAUGUCCAUCAUUCCAUGCAUCAGUUUAAUCACAUGUAUGUCACACAUUAUUAAAGGUACAAAGAAAAUAGUUGGAAGAAUUCAGAGUGGGGGAGAAGAAAAACAAAAUGAAAACCAAAACCAAUCUGUUGAAAGUUCCAAAAUAUUUGUGUGUAUUUUAAUGUUCUCUUCUAUUAUUAGCCAAAUGAUUCCUUGGGAUUACUCAAACAUUUAAGUGCUUUGUUGAUUUCAAGGUUUACUAAAGACUUCUCUGAGCUUUUGGUAAAUAGAAAAUAACUAAAAAAGCCCAAAUCCUUUUACACUUGACUAUUAUAAACCACUUGGAGGCAUAUUGUCAUCCUGAAAUAAUUGCAUUAGGAAAUUAGAGUUUCUGAGUUUCACUCAGAGCUGUUAUAGUUCUCAAGACUCUUCUCACUCAAUACUGUACAGAAUUACAUCUGUCUGUAUGGGUAGUCUUCCACAAGAUUUCUUCUGACUUCAUCUUCCUCUGAUUUCAACUGUUAACAUUCAAUUACUACUUAAAAGGUUGAUUGAAGAAAUUGAUCUAAUGUGACCUUUACUGUAGUUAUCCAACAGGUUCACAAAGGGAAAGUAAAAAAUAACAAUAUUCUCAUCUUUGGAGAAAGACAAAAUAACAUGAUUAGACAAAUAGAAAAUUAAGGUCAAUGUAACAACUGUUGUAAAUAUUAGAAUAAAAAAUGUUAGAAAAAAAGUCCCUCAAAAAAAUAAUCAGUUACAAAAUUUCUAACAUUAGCAAAGUGAGAACUUAUCAAUAGAACUAAUUUGCUAUAACUUCAUAAAAAUAAUAAUUCAUAUGAAUAUAAAUAAUAACAUAAAUAAUAGUUCACAUAAAGAUAAAUAUUUAUUUUAUUUGUGUAUUUUUAUCAUAAAAUAUAAAUGUUGCGAGACCAUGACAUUUUAAAGGGAACUGAAUAAUACACUGGCAUGAAUCAAUAGCAGAACUAUGUGUUACUUCAAAAAAUACCAAAAGUUAAAGCUGUCUAAAACUAAAUAUUUUCUCCAAGCUUUUAUUAAUGAGACAAUAAACCUAAAAUACAUAUAAAAAGUUCUUUAGUCAUACAAAAAUGAAUGUGUUUAGAAGGGGAAAUUGUAUAUUGACAACAGAAAUUCACAUCCUUAUAGAAUCAUCCUUAUAUUCACAUCCUUACAGAUUGGAAAGACAUCAAAGUAGCCCAGUAACAAUACUAGUCCAACAGCUAAUAAUUAAAAUACAGGUUACAGGUUCUAUUACAAAAAAAAAAAAAAAAAAAAAAAGCACACAGAAAACAACAAUACCAUGAGCAGAUUUCAGAUUAACAAGUGAUUAUCAGUAGUGCUGACUGAGAAAGGUAUUCAAAGCAGCUUUCCAACAUCAUUAGUGCUUCCUGAAAGAAGAUAAAUCACAUUUAUUUUAUGACAAUGACCUAAUAAUUAAGCAGAUGAAUUAAGUAGAUGAAUUAUCAAACAAGGUUCUAAAUGUUAUUUUUGAAGUUAUAGCUUUCCAAAUUGAAUUCAUUACACUUUCCUUUAUAUCUUUCACAGAAACCAUUGAGGGAACAAGUUAUCAAUUGGAAGAAAUAUAGAAAUUACCAGAAGCACUUUGCUUACUUUCUAGCUGUUCUCUGAGCAGUGCACUAGAAUUUGUUCUGGAUCAGUUACAUGCUAUGAAAAUGAGUCGCCUAAACAGUCAUCUAUAAAAUCAUCCUACAUAGUUUAAAUUUAUGAGAUCUCUUAUGGACAAUAGAAUUUGAAUUUUCCAUUUACUUGUUUGUUGGUACUACUAAAGAGAAUUCUCAGUUCUUUAUAUUGUUGUUGAAUGGAAUAGAAGAAAGAAUAAAUUAAUAGGGUGAAAUUGUUAAGAAAAUUAAAACAUUUAUACUGUACAUUUAUGCUAUACUGUGUAUAUCAGGAAUGUUUCAGGGCAACAGAAACAAAAUAUCAAAAAUCUUAGAUCAGGAAAAGAAAGAAAGUAAAAGAAGCAGAAAUUUUAGGGAAAAAAAAAAAAAAAAACACAAAAAAAACAAAGCAGAUUGACAUUUAAUAUUUUUCUUGUGUCAGGAAAUAGAAGUGUACUGUGAAACUCAUUGUCUGAUGAUAUGUUUUGUAAGAAAUAUGCAUUGUUGAGUCCUAAAUGAAAACAUAUUGUCCAUUUUUCAGACCUUAUUUGGCUUUGCCUGAGACCACACUGAUAAAAGUUUUCAAGCUGAUUCUUUGUUCACCAGGUCAAGAGUCGACAUCAAUGUAUUUUGACUCUGGGAAUUUUAAAUUGGAUACUGCACUUGUAGAACCCAGAGAUGGAUUGGUAUUCACGUAAGAAUUAUUUUAAAACAUUUAAACUAAUUGCUGUUUUUGCUAGUCCUGAUUAAAGGUAUGAUAGAUGGGAGUUUUUGUAUGUGUUUGACUACCAAAAAAAAAAAAAAGUUGGAAUAAAACUGUAAAGUACAUUGCAAAAUUUCCUUGUUCCUUCAUUUCUCUCCCUCUUUCUCCUUUCUUAAAUUUCCAGUUAAUUUUGAGUUAGUAUUUUUAUUUGUUUGUUUGUAUUUUUUGUUUUGUUUUUACCCAACAGUUUCAAGUUCCUGGCCUCACUUCAGCAAACAGUAUUGGUCACUGAAAAAGUGAGAAAACUUGGGAACACUGGUCUCUCUCCCUCUCUCUCUCUCUCUCUCUAUGUAUAUAUAUGUAUAUAUUUGUCAAAUCAGGUGCAACUGAGCCUACAUUUUCACACUGCAGCUUCAAUUAUUGUGACAAACAACGUGACUGCAUUGAAACAAAACAAAAUAAAACAAAACAAAAACAAAAAGAGCAAGCUAUAUAUAUUUUGGGAGCUUGUAGUACCCUUGCAUCUCUUUCAGGAAAAAAACAUUCUGUUUAACUUUGUCAUUAUGCACACCUAAGAUUUAACCAGCUUUCAAAGAACUGUGUCAUAUCUUUACCCCAAGCCAACCAAAUCAAGUUUAAACCUGUCCAUUUCUUUUUGAACUUUGACCAACGCCCUAUCUUACUUUGUGCUUGUGCCUGACUGUGGGCCUGAUUUUGAAAAUAAAAGAGUCUCAGGCAAGCUGUUUCUAUAUUACUUAAACAAGUAGAGUUCAAACAUGAACCAGGCUUUCACUAUAUCCAAAACAGUUUUUCUGCAUUGGAGAGUUGUUUAUAGCACAAGCUGAGAAUGUAAAUGAGAAGGGAAAUUGGUCUCAGUCAUGAAUUCGAGUCUGGAUCCCAGGCCUCUCUUUCUUUCAUUUUGUGCCUUUUAUUUUAAAUAUUGGACAAAUAGAAACAGUGAGAAAAAUCAGAAACAUUAUGCAGCAAGUACCAGAACUGGACUGCAGCUUCUGCUGUACAAUGAAACUAAAUAAUAGUGCAGCAAUCUUGUGCCCUACAAAUAUUAGAAUGAAAAUACAAAUGCUUUACCACACAAUCUUGUUUAGGAUGUAAAAGCAAAACUGAAGUACAUGAAAAUAUUUGUCAAAGUCUUCGAAUUUAGGAAGAUCAGAAAGACAGUAAUAUUGAGAAUGUGAUGAAGCACAUUAUUUUGCCAAGUUCUGAUUACAGAAAGAAAGAAAAAACAUAUUAAAGAAUAAAUUUCAUCUUGUAGGGUCAAAAGUCAGGCUACUCUCCAGCUCUCUAUUAGUUCAGUCUUGAAAAGAUUUUAUGUGUCAAUUUUAUUCUUUUUGUCCCCCACCCCCCACCCCCACUCCCUUCCGAAGAGGAAAAGCAAGUCAUUGUGUUAAAAAAUAAUGGAUCAAAGGAAUGUCUAAUGUCUUCCACAGGGGUCAAGGGUUUGUACUGUAGUGACAUCACAGAAUCACAGAAUCACAGAAUUUCUAGGUUGGAAGAGACCUCAAGAUCAUCGAGUCCAACCUCUAACCUAACACUAACAGUCCCCACUAAACCAUAUCCCUAAGCUCUACAUCUAAACGUCUUUUGAAGACUUCCAGGGAUGGUGACUCCACCACCUCCCUGGGCAGCCUGUUCCAGUGCCUAACAACCCUUUCAGUAAAGAAGUUCAUAAUAAAGAACAAUGAGGUUGUAUGUGUCUUCUUAUCUCUCAUUUAUGAAUCCUUCUAGCCCUCAAAUAUGGGAUAUUAGGGAAACUACCAUUCUGCAUUAUCGUCACCUAAAUAGACUGUGCUGAAAACAAUAUAGUCAGAGGAAUCUUGGCAAAACUAUUUUCAUCACUGGCUGAAAAACAAACAAGCAAACAAAAAAACCACAAUCCACUAUAAAGAACAUUAGAACCUUAUACAUUAUAUAGAGAACAUUCCUGUAUACAACCUACUGACUUUGUGUUCACUACCUAGAAAUUAAAUAUAUUAUAAAAUAUAAUAAAGCCAAUAUUAUUUUGUUAUGCAUUAGUGUUUGCUAUACAUAAUUAACUUUUGAAAAGAAAGUCAUUCAAUUUUCUUUCUCAUUGUUUCUUAUAACAAAUAUUUCUGAUGUCACUUUCACAUGAAUACAUUCAGUUCAAGAAAAACUGAAGAUAAAUGUGGUUCCUCCCUUUCUGCCAGCUUAGGCAUACAAACUCGUGUUGAUUUGUUGGUUUUGUUGUUUAUUUUUGUUUGUUUGUUUAGUUUGAGCUAUGACAUACCCAUAAGAAAAUUUUUAUUCUUAUGCAGAUCUACAUUAACAGCAUUACCUGUGUUCUGAAUAACUCCUGACUAGUUACUGAAUCUUUUCAUAUGCUGAGAAAAUAAAGCUGAAUCAACAUAAUUAAGGACUUACUUCUCCAAAGGAAAAAAGUCACAUUAAAAGUAUGAUUCCUGUCACAGAGCAUGCUGCCGUUACAAAUACAGUAAGAAAGGCCCACUAAACCUUCUCCAGACCGUUUAUCCUUGGGGUACUCAGCCUCCUGACCUGGAAGUCUGGGACAACCAGGGGAUCAGGCCCAGUCAGCAUGGGUUCAUGAAAGGGUGAAUUGAUAUUCUGGGUGUGCACCAUCUUCCUUACCUGAAAUGCCAAUCUGCUUUCUGAGAAAAGAUAAAGGAAACCUGAAGGUUGGAAGAGAACCAUGACGUGAUUCAGUAUAUCUUCUUCUGCAGAACUACAAAAGAACUUAAGAUAGAUAUUCAGGAAAAAGUUGCUCUGUAUAACAGGUUCCUUUUAGCAUGUGUAUGAUAUAAUGAAAAAAUCACCCGAACGCUAUACUCUCGAUAUUCUCUAUUAGACACUCUUCAUAGGAAAAAAAUGUAACAUAGGUAUAAUACUAAUAUUAUGUAAUCAUAUAAAAAUAUUUAUUUUUUUAAAUAAAAGUUAUUUUAAAAA
Molecule: long non-coding RNA, 5337 nt
Organism: Anas platyrhynchos (mallard)
Lineage: Eukaryota; Metazoa; Chordata; Aves; Anseriformes; Anatidae
Source: RefSeq, a predicted model, not a curated record